RNAcentral lists this long non-coding RNA (693 nucleotides) under Homo sapiens (human). Its description in RNAcentral is "HSALNT0161248". Lineage: Eukaryota; Metazoa; Chordata; Mammalia; Primates; Hominidae. The record is from RNAcentral.
AGUGACUUAUGGAUUGUGACAGGCCUUUCAUGGAAGUUGCCAUGGUUCUGCAUCCCUAAACCAAUGAGACACAAUGGCAAGUUUCUCUUCCUACAUCUAUUUCAACCACCAGCUUAACUCCCCUUCCUGAGUGCAGCUAAAGCUGUGGCCAUCAGGCAGGUGAAGCUUGGUGCCUCCUGUUCAACCAACAGGAAUGACUGAAGCAGGCUGGGGGUGGGACCAGCAGUAAGAAGCCCAGAGCAAUGACCAGAGCUCCCUUUCUCUGGAGAGCUGGGCUGGAGAAAAUCUAUGCACUGCUGAUCUCCUAAGGAGAGAGCUUCAAGGGUGAAAAGAUGGUGUCCCACAGGCCUGAGGCUGCACAGAUCUAGCUUUUGCCAUUGAGGACAGCAGGGACAGUAAAGCUUCCCAGAUCCCCUUUCAACCUGCCAGCUGGCAUGUCACCUACCAUAGAGGAAGCCAAUCCUAGACCUUGUACUACUUGAGAGAUUGCAAAAGUAUCCUGUUAGCUGGGUCUGGACCCCAAUGAUAAAUAGACUCAUGAGUGAGCUAAGGAAGGGAACUGGCCCAUCUAAAAGGAACCGGCCCAAGGAAAAGCAGGAAUCUAUGAAGGCAUUCAAUAACUUGGACCAAAAAGGAACAAGAAGGUAAAAUUGAAUACUUGGGUGAUGGUUACACUAAAAACCUAGAUUUCCC